GCCGGGCGUGGUGGCUCACGCCUGUAAUCCCAGCACCUUGGGAGGCUGAGGCAGGUGGAUUACCUGAGGUCAGGAGUUCGAGACCAGCCUGGCCAACAUGGUGAAACCCCAUCUCUA
This 117-nucleotide non-coding RNA is filed under the name Pan troglodytes (chimpanzee). The record is from Rfam by way of RNAcentral. Lineage: Eukaryota; Metazoa; Chordata; Mammalia; Primates; Hominidae.